RNAcentral lists this ribosomal RNA (408 nucleotides) under uncultured Bacilli bacterium. RNAcentral's name for it is "bacterial SSU rRNA". It matches the Rfam family "Bacterial small subunit ribosomal RNA", at positions 114 to 507 of the family's 1533-position model. Lineage: Bacteria; Bacillati; Bacillota; Bacilli. The record is from RNAcentral.
CACGUGGGUAACCUACCCAUCAGAGGGGGAUAACACUUGGAAACAGGUGCUAAUACCGCAUAACAGUUUAUGUCGCAUGGCAUAAGAGUGAAAGGCGCUUUCGGGUGUCGCUGAUGGAUGGACCCGCGGUGCAUUAGCUAGUUGGUGAGGUAACGGCUCACCAAGGCCACGAUGCAUAGCCGACCUGAGAGGGUGAUCGGCCACACUGGGACUGAGACACGGCCCAGACUCCUACGGGAGGCAGCAGUAGGGAAUCUUCGGCAAUGGACGAAAGUCUGACCGAGCAACGCCGCGUGAGUGAAGAAGGUCUUCGGAUCGUAAAACUCUGUUGUUAGAGAAGAACAAGGACGUUAGUAACUGAACGUCCCCUGACGGUAUCUAACCAGUAAAGCCACGGCUAACUACGUG